UUGACUGGUUGGGGUGUGUGAGAGACUGUGGGUGUGUGGUGUGGCUGGAUCGAGAGCUUGACUGAGAGGUCUGUGUGUGUUUUUGGGGUGUGGAGAGGCUCUGAGAGAUUGGAGGAAGGUGUUUGGUGAGGGAAUUGGUGGUUGCAUUGCUAGGGUGAGAGACUGGAGCAAGAGUUUGGAUAGAAUGACUGGUUUCUUUGGCUAGUGCACCUUGGAGACACGCCGUGCUAGAUUUCAGUGACCUGUGAGGCUCCAUCAAUCUCCUCCCUCCAUUGCGGUGAACUUUCACUGGAGGUAGCUAGGGUUGGCUCCCCAGGUUUCUUUCCUUCUGGGUGUGUGUAUCACAUAAAGCAGCGGCCCGCUACUGUAAGUAUUAGUGGGGAAAUGUUGUACAAAGAGGCUAAAUGAUUCCUCAAGGUCACAUAGGAAGACACUAUGAGAGAUGGAAGUCUUCUGAUUGAAUCAGUGCUUCAGCCCUCCAUCAUGUUACAACCUUUUACAUGCCCUAAACUGGGAAUGUAAUGUGGUAAGACAUGCCAAAGAGACAACACUGCAUACCAUUUCCUAUCUUAGAGCUACAGAACAUACAUAAGCUAUUCUGCAUCUCAUCGCUGAUUUGGAGUUCAUCUGGAGUCAACAUCCAGUAUUGCAUGGACAGGAGUCUCUUUAACCUCUACUGGUUACAUUCCAAAUCAAAGAAAACCAACACUUCUGUUACUGAUCUUCAAUAGGCAGAUGAUUGUCUCAUGUGCUCACUCAGUUAAAAAGUUCCAGGUCACUCUUGACCAUUUCUGUGAAGCAUAUGAAAUGCCUGGACUCACUGUCAACUUCACUAAAACAUAUAUACUUUACAAACCUACCCCAAACCAACCAGCUAGUCCUUUACAGAUUAUAAUUAGAAGGAGAUCUUUGUAGAAUGUUGAACAUUUCCCCUACCUGGAUAGCUGCCUUUCCUAGAAAGUAGAUGUACACAAUGAUAUUGAACACUAGAUAAAAUCUUCCAGUGCUGCUUUUAGAUGCCUCUGAAAUUUAUGUCUACAGUGAUUAUGACAUAAGGACCCAAAGCAAACAGUCUGUGAGGCUGUUCUCAUCCCUAUCCUAUGGUAUGGGUGUGAAAGUUAGAUGACAUAUCAGAAACACCUGAAAGUUUGGAAUAUUAUCCAUCCACAAUGCCCUCAGAAAAUCCUUCUUAUCAACUGGAAGCACAGAAGAACAAAUGCCAGUGUUCUGGCUCAGGAAAACAAUACCAACACUGAAGCCAUGUUUAUAGGACACCAGCUGGACAGGACAUGUCAUAAGAAUGCCUGACAACUGGCUCCCAAAACAGGUAGGUCCUAUACUCCCAGUUCACUAAUGGUUGCUGCUGUAGAGGUGGGCAAAAGACAAGAUUCAAGGACACCUUGAAGGCCAAUCUGAAGAAAUGCAAUAAGAACAUCUGUACUGGGAGGACUCAAGCACUGAAUCAUCCCCAGUGGCACUGUGAUGUACAUCAAAGCAUCUAUCAUUUUGAGAAAACUUGCCUCUGUCUCACUAUGGAGGUAGAUAGAUCAGAGAUAAAAGGAAAGAGCUGUGACCUGACAUCAACAAGGAUCUACUCCUACCACCUGGAGCUAAUUGCCACCUCUGCAAUAGAACAUAUGGAUCUUGGAUCGAUCUCUUCAGUCAUCUAGGGAUUCACAAAUGACUUUCCUGUUUACUAGAAGACUGUCAUCCUCAUAUUGAAGAACUGCUGCCGCUGACUUGGUGUCAGUCUUGAAUGCAAGACUUAGAGCUUUGUAUGCUUUUUAAAACACUGUGUACCAUCCAUCCCCUGAGUAAAAAAAAGACUUAAUGACGAAUUUCUGUGAAAUACCAUCCAGUCCUUGCAAUUAUAAAGCAUUAUUAAAAACAAAUAAAUAAAACAGUGUUGUUUGCUUUUCUUUGCUGUCCAUGACUACAAAUAUAGUAGCUUUGAUGGUUCCAGAAAAUUAGCUAACAAAGAUAAGCAAAAAGGAUUAAGUGAAAUUCUCGCAUAGGAAAAUAACCACUUAAAAUUGAUGAUGAUGACGAUUCAUGGUGUUACUCUCUAAGGGACUGGAUGGUAUAUUGUAGCUGCUCAUACAACUUACGUGACCACUGAAAGGAUUAAUAAAAUUGACUGUGGUGAAGAA
Alligator mississippiensis (American alligator) is the source of this 2150-nucleotide long non-coding RNA. RefSeq lists it as uncharacterized. Lineage: Eukaryota; Metazoa; Chordata; Crocodylia; Alligatoridae. The transcript has 4 exons. The record is from RefSeq and is a predicted model, not a curated record.